GGGCGCCUAGCUCAGUUGGUUAGAGCAUCUCGCUUACACCGAGAGGGUCAGGGGUUCGAAUCCCUUGGCGCCCACCA
This 77-nucleotide transfer RNA is filed under the name Candidatus Peregrinibacteria bacterium. RNAcentral's name for it is "tRNA-Val". It matches the Rfam family "tRNA". From Rfam's summary of the family: Transfer RNA (tRNA) molecules are approximately 80 nucleotides in length. Their secondary structure includes four short double-helical elements and three loops (D, anti-codon, and T loops). Lineage: Bacteria; Candidatus Peregrinibacteriota. The record is from RNAcentral.